UUAGCAUAUCAUAAGCGGAGGAAAAGAAACCCACAGGGAUUGCUCUAGUAACGGCGAGUGAAGCAGCAAUAGCUCAAAUUUGAAAUCUGGCGUCUUCGGCGUCCGAGUUGUAAUUUGUAGAGGAUGCUUCUGGGCAGCCACCGACCUAAGUUCCUUGGAACAGGACGUCAUAGAGGGUGAGAAUCCCGUAUGCGGUCGGAAAGGCACCCUACACGUAGCUCCUUCGACGAGUCGAGUUGUUUGGGAAUGCAGCUCUAAAUGGGAGGUAAAUUUCUUCUAAAGCUAAACAUUGGCCAGAGACCGAUAGCGCACAAGUAGAGUGAUCGAAAGAUGAAAAGCACUUUGGAAAGAGAGUUAAAAAGCACGUGAAAUUGUUGAAAGGGAAGGGAUUGCAACCAGACUUGCUCGCGGUGUUCCGCCGGUCUUCUGACCGGUCUACUCGCCGCGUUGCAGGCCAGCAUCGUCUGGUGCCGCUGGAUAAGACUUGAGGAAUGUAGCUCCCUCGGGAGUGUUAUAGCCUCUUGUGAUGCAGCGAGCGCCGGGCGAGGUCCGCGCUUCGGCUAGGAUGCUGGCGUAAUGGUUGUAAUCCGCCCGUCUUGAAACACGGACCAAGGAGUCUAACAUCUAUGCGAGUGUUCGGGUGUCAAACCCCUACGCGUAAUGAAAGUGAACGGAGGUGAGAACCGCAAGGUGCAUCAUCGACCGAUCCUGAUGUCUUCGGAUGGAUUUGAGUAUGAGCAUAGCUGUUGGGACCCGAAAGAUGGUGAACUAUGCCUGAAUAGGGUGAAGCCAGAGGAAACUCUGGUGGAGGCUCGCAGCGGUUCUGACGUGCAAAUCGAUCGUCAAAUUUGGGUAUAGGGGCGAAAGACUAAUCGAACCAUCUAGUAGCUGGUUCCUGCCGA
Molecule: ribosomal RNA, 902 nt
Filed under: Cladosporium halotolerans
Lineage: Eukaryota; Fungi; Ascomycota; Dothideomycetes; Cladosporiales; Cladosporiaceae
Description: LSU rRNA
Rfam family: Eukaryotic large subunit ribosomal RNA
Source: RNAcentral